This 468-nucleotide ribosomal RNA is filed under the name uncultured bacterium. RNAcentral's name for it is "partial 16S ribosomal RNA". It matches the Rfam family "Bacterial small subunit ribosomal RNA", at positions 28 to 507 of the family's 1533-position model. The record is from RNAcentral.
GACGAACGCUGGCGGCGUGCUUAAUACAUGCAAGUCGAACGGAAAGGCCCUGCUUUUGUGGGGUGCUCGAGUGGCGAACGGGUGAGUAACACGUGAGUAACCUGCCCUUGACUUUGGGAUAACUUCAGGAAACUGGGGCUAAUACCGGAUAGGAGCUCCUGCUGCAUGGUGGGGGUUGGAAAGUUUCGGCGGUUGGGGAUGGACUCGCGGCUUAUCAGCUUGCUGGUGGGGUAGUGGCUUACCAAGGCUUUGACGGGUAGCCGGCCUGAGAGGGUGACCGGCCACAUUGGGACUGAGGUACGGCCCAGACGCCUACGGGAGGCAGCAGUGGGGAAUAUUGCGCAAUAGGCGGGAGCCUGAUGCAACAGCGCCGGGUGCGGAAUGACGUCCUUCGAGGUAUAAACCGAUUUCGCCUGAGACGAGGCGUGAGUGACGGUAAUGGGUAAAGAAGCACCGGCUAACUACGUG